This 773-nucleotide long non-coding RNA is filed under the name Homo sapiens (human). RNAcentral describes it as "non-protein coding lnc-HS1BP3-4:1". The record is from RNAcentral. Lineage: Eukaryota; Metazoa; Chordata; Mammalia; Primates; Hominidae.
AGGUGCUGUGGUCCUAUGAGCGAGUCUCCUCACUCCUUUCUUUUCCCAUUUCAUGGUGGAGUCCCAUGGUUUUGCUGAGCCACGUAAGAGGCAGGGGACUUGCUUUCUCAGGUCACAAAUGCAGCAGCUGAGUCCUGGGCCUAGUAAGAGUGGGUCUUGCACACACAGGACUAAUGGCUGGAUCUUUUUAGCAUGCAUUUCUUGAUCAUUUAUAGGUAAUCAGCAUUUUUCCUGCCAUUCGCUUCACCUGGAUAAGUUACUGACUCUCCUUCCGUCUGUGGCUAUGUCAGCAAAAUGAGGCUGGGCAGGCUGUCUGUGGCUUUGUGGCCUGGCCAGCCUGCUCCUCAUAUGAGACAUUGGAUCAACAGACUGGUAUGGUACCAGUUCAGCCUCUGCUGAGGACUUGUGAGCACCAUACCUCUAGGAAGAAAGUCUGCUGGUCCCCAGACCCCUGUAACUUUCCUUCCGCACUUAAGGGAGUCAGGCUCCGCCACCACUUCUUUUGGAACCUGAAUGGUGGUCCCUGUUUCCCUGGAUGCACUCACCUGCCAAAUUCAUCCUAUGCAAUUCUCAGAAUCUCCAGUUUAUCAGUGGCCCUUUAUUUUCAUUUUUUUAAUUUUUAUAUUUUGAGAUCAGUUCUCACUCUGUUAUCCAGGCUGAAAUGCAGUAACACAAUCACAGCUCACUGCAGCCUCGACCUCCCAGGCUCAAAUAAUCCUCCCACCUCAGCCUCUAGAGUAGCUGGAACUACAGGCACAUGCCACCACUCCUGC